AUGAAAAUCACAGAGUCCGGCAAUCUGGUUCUCUUCAACCACAAGAACUUGCCAGUCUGGCAGUCCUUCGAUCACCCAACUGACACUAUGCUUCCCCGGCAGCCAUUAAUGGAAGGGAUGAAGCUGACGCCCAGCAUCGACAACGUCAGCUUUGCUGCCAGCAAUCAGUUCUAUCUAGCCGUCCAUCAAUAUGGUCUGCACGCGUCUGUAGGGUCAAUACAGCACCAGAUCUACUACGAAUACAACCAAGCAGGACAUUUCACCUACGAUGAACACACAUACAUCGCGCUCCUCAAUGGGAGCAUGUCCGUCUUUGCCACCUCCUCCCUGCCUACAGACUCAAUCAAUAACGCUGGGAUCGACCUGCCUCAUGCGCGCUCACUCCAGUACAUGAGGUUCGAGUCUGACGGACAUCUCAGGCUGUAUGAGUGGAAUCAAAGGUACUCGCAGUGGUCAUUCGUGCAGGACAUCUUCGAACUAGAUUACUGCAUGUACCCAACUGUCUGUGGAGAGUAUGGGAUCUGCAGGAAUGGGCAGUGCAUCUGCCCGAUUGGGGCCGGUGAUACCUUAUACUUCAAGCAGGCUGACAUCUGGAAUCCUGGCCUUGGCUGCAUUCCAGUGCGCCCAAUUUCUUCUUGUCACUCUGUUCCAGCUGAGCAAGAUCACCAGCUCGUAGCUCUCUCUGAUGUUUCCUACUUCAGCUUCAGUGACCCCGAUGCUGUGAUAAUAAGUGAUGAAGAGAGCUGCAAGCAAGCCUGCUCGAGAAAUUGCUCUUGCAAGGCUGCAUUUCACAGUUCCCUAAAUGGUCCCAGCGAAUCUUGUUUAUUGGUCUCUGAGGUCCUCUCAAUGCAGGGAUACGAGACAGACUCAACAGCGUACCUGAAAGUGUACACCAACCAUUCAUUGCCUCCUCAAAAUUCAUCUGCUUCUGCGAAGAAAAGAAAAGGGGCUGUAACUUACAAAAUAGCUGGUGCUAGUGCUGCCGCAGUCGUAUUUUCUAGUAUUGUCAUUGUUGUCGUUAGAUGGAUACGUAAUCAAAGGAAAGAUGAUGAUGAAGAAGAGUUUUGUGAAGUGCCAGGAAUGCCAACAAGGUUCACUUUUGACUUGCUGAGAGGAGCAACAGAUGACUUCAGCAGAAAGCUAGGGGAAGGGGGAUCUGGGUCAGUUUAUGAUGGACAGCUUGGCGAUGAGAGGGUUGCAGUAAAGCUUUUGGACAGACAUGCUCACAGACAGAAAGAAUUCUCUGCAGAAGUUCAGACAAUUGGCAGCAUCCAUCACAUCAAUCUGGUUAAAAUGAUUGGGUUCUGUGCGGAUAAAAGAAACAGGCUCUUGGUUUUUGAGUACAUGUCUGGAGGAUCACUGGACAAGUGGAUCUAUUCCAAUAAAUCGGGUAACAAUGCCCCUCUUGGUUGGUGCAUAAGGCGUAGGAUCAUCACUGAUAUUGCCAGGGGCUUACACUACCUUCACGAAGGGUGCAGGCAGCGAAUUGCUCAUCUAGAUAUUAAACCACAGAAUAUCCUCUUAGAUGAUAAGUUCAAUGCCAAAGUUGCAGACUUUGGGUUAUCCAAACUGAUAGAUAGGGAUGAGAGUCGUGUGGUGACACGAAUGAGAGGAACACCUGGAUACAUGGCACCAGAAUGGCUGACAUCAAAAAUCACUGAGAAGGUGGAUGUCUACAGUUUUGGUAUUGUGGUCAUUGAAAUCUUAAGUGGAAGAAAGAACAUCGACUACUCUCAGCCCGAUGAGGGUGCUCAGCUCAUUAUGGUACUACGAGAGAAGGCAAUGAAUUCUCAACUGGAAGAUAUGAUCGACCAGAACAGCCAAGAUAUGCGCUCAUGCAACAAGGAGGAAGUGAUUGAGAUCAUGAGGCUUGCAAUGUGGUGCUUGCAGAGUGACAGCAACAGAAGGCCUUCCAUGUCAGUGGUGGUGAAGGUGUGA
This 1938-nucleotide ribosomal RNA is filed under the name Triticum aestivum (bread wheat). Its description in RNAcentral is "partial small subunit ribosomal RNA". The record is from RNAcentral. Lineage: Eukaryota; Viridiplantae; Streptophyta; Magnoliopsida; Poales; Poaceae.